GACGAACGCUGGCGGCGUGCUUAACACAUGCAAGUCGAACGGAAAGGCCCUGCUUUUGUGGGGUGCUCGAGUGGCGAACGGGUGAGUAACACGUGAGUAACCUGCCCUUGACUUUGGGAUAACUUCAGGAAACUGGGGCUAAUACCGGAUAGGAGCUCCUGCUGCAUGGUGGGGGUUGGAAAGUUUCGGCGGUUGGGGAUGGACUCGCGGCUUAUCAGCUUGUUGGUGGGGUAGUGGCUUACCAAGGCUUUGAAGGGUAGCCGGCCUGAGAGGGUGACCGGCCACAUUGGGACUGAGCUACGGCCCAGACUCCUACGGGAGGCAGCAGUGGUGAAUAUUGCACUAUGGGCGGCAGCCUGAUGCAGCAACGCCGCGUGCGGGAUGACGGCCUUCGUGUUGUAAGCCGCUUUCGCCUGUGACGAAGCGUGAGUGGCGGUUAUGGGUAAAGAAGCACCGGCUAACUACGUUC
Molecule: ribosomal RNA, 469 nt
Filed under: uncultured bacterium
Lineage: Bacteria
Description: partial 16S ribosomal RNA
Rfam family: Bacterial small subunit ribosomal RNA
Source: RNAcentral